RNAcentral lists this ribosomal RNA (497 nucleotides) under uncultured bacterium. RNAcentral's name for it is "partial 16S ribosomal RNA". It matches the Rfam family "Bacterial small subunit ribosomal RNA", at positions 28 to 507 of the family's 1533-position model. The record is from RNAcentral.
GAUGAACGCUGGCGGCGUGCCUAAUACAUGCAAGUCGAGCGAACGGACGAGAAGCUUGCUUCUCUGAUGUUAGCGGCGGACGGGUGAGUAACACGUGGAUAACCUACCUAUAAGACUGGGAUAACUUCGGGAAACCGGAGCUAAUACCGGAUAAUAUUUUGAACCGCAUGGUUCAAAAGUGAAAGACGGUCUUGCUGUCACUUAUAGAUGGAUCCGCGCUGCAUUAGCUAGUUGGUAAGGUACCGGCUUCCCAAGGCGGCGAUGGAUAGCCGACCUGGGGGGGGGAACGGGCACAGUGGAAGUGGGAGGCGGUACAGGGUCCUAGGGGAGGCAGCGGGAGGGAAGGGUGGGAGAUGGGGGGAAGCCUGAAGGAGGGACGCCGGGUGGGUGAUGAAGGGCUGCGGGUGGUAAGACGGUGUUAUUAGGGAAGAACAUAUGUGUAAGGAACGGUGCACAUCGUGACGGUACCUAGUCAGAAAGCCACGGCUAACUACGUG